ACUCCUACGGGAGGCAGCAGUGGGGAAUAUUAGACAAUGGGGGCAACCCUGAUCCAGCCAUGCCGCGUGAGUGAUGAAGGCCUUAGGGUUGUAAAGCUCUUUCAGCGAGGAGGAUAAUGACGUUACUCGCAGAAGAAGCCCCGGCUAACUUCGUGCCAGCAGCCGCGGUAAUACGAAGGGGCUAGCGUUGUUCGGAAUCACUGGGCGUAAAGCGCACGUAGGCGGAUUGAUAAGUUAGGGUGAAAUCCCGGGGCUCAACCUCGGAACUGCCUUUGAUACUGUCAGUCUUGAGUCCGAGAGAGGUGAGUGGAACUCCGAGUGUAGAGGUGAAAUUCGUAGAUAUUCGGAAGAACACCAGUGGCGAAGGCGGCUCACUGGCUCGGUACUGACGCUGAGGUGCGAAAGCGU
This 408-nucleotide ribosomal RNA is filed under the name uncultured bacterium. RNAcentral describes it as "bacterial SSU rRNA". It matches the Rfam family "Bacterial small subunit ribosomal RNA", at positions 335 to 762 of the family's 1533-position model. The record is from RNAcentral.